AGCGAACGCUGGCGGCAGGCCUAACACAUGCAAGUCGAACGAACUCUUCGGAGUUAGUGGCGGACGGGUGAGUAACACGUGGGAACGUGCCUUUAGGUUCGGAAUAACUCAGGGAAACUUGUGCUAAUACCGAAUGUGCCCUUCGGGGGAAAGAUUUAUCGCCCUUAGAGCGGCCCGCGUCUGAUUAGCUAGUUGGUGAGGUAAAGGCUCACCAAGGCGACGAUCAGUAGCUGGUCUGAGAGGAUGAUCAGCCACAUUGGGACUGAGACACGGCCCAAACUCCUACGGGAGGCAGCAGUGGGGAAUCUUGCGCAAUGGGCGAAAGCCUGACGCAGCCAUGCCGCGUGAAUGAUGAAGGUCUUAGGAUUGUAAAAUUCUUUCACCGGGGACGAUAAUGACGGUACCCGGAGAAGAAGCCCCGGCUAACUACGUGCCAGCCGCCGCGGUAA
Molecule: ribosomal RNA, 449 nt
Filed under: uncultured bacterium
Lineage: Bacteria
Description: partial 16S ribosomal RNA
Rfam family: Bacterial small subunit ribosomal RNA
Source: RNAcentral